AGCCUUCUUUGUUUUCCUUCCCGCCCAUUCUACCGUUUUAGAGAGAGAGAGAGAGAGAGAGAGGCGACCUCACUCUCAAGCCGCCGGUCUCCGGUCUUACUCUCCGACCACCUCCUAUCGUCGUUCAUCCACUUCCGGCGUCGUUCGUCACUCUCAGGCCACCCCUAAUCAAGCUGUUGCCUACACCUAAUCUGACGCUUUGACCACGUCGAUCUUCCUCAUUUUUUGGAGGUGGUUUUGCAGUCUCGUGGCCGAGAUCAAGCUGGGGGCAACAACGAUGAUGACUUCAUUUGUGAUGAAGGUGAUGAGUCCAUGGAUGAGCAAAGUGACGAAGAGGAAGCUAUGAUUAGCACCGACACUGAUAUAGAUCCAGAUAUAGAGCCUUAAUGCAGGAUUUGGAGUCUCAAACUUCGUUCUCCUUCUCUUACAUCAGGUGCUCAGUCAUGAGGAUGAGAGACAGAUCUUGUAAAAAUUUAGAUUGGUGUACGAGAUGUCUCCGGCAGAUUUCUUUGCAACAGAUCUUGCGAUAUCACAGCUUGCUUCAAGUAUCCUUGCUUUGCGGGUUGGAGAUGUGUGGUUGGGUUGGUAGCGGAAGCGACCCGAUCUGUUCUCUUCUCCGUGAUUCGCCAGCUUCUUGAUUGUUCUUUUGUCAGCGUUCGAUAUAUCCCACUGCGUGGUGGUUUUGGGCUGUUGAAGCGAGGUGACAAUGUGCAAUGUUCAAAUGGCAAGGAGGGCUUUCACAUAGGGUGAUCCUGCUACUUUGUUUUGUCCAGGUGGAUUUACAUCUUGGUGACUGGUUGGACAAAUCACAUAGAUAUGGGGAUUUGUUCAGGUCAUUACAUAAAAGGUUCAUCGGAACAUUGAGAUUGAUUCACGCCGAUUUUGGGAAUUGUUCCUUUGCUCAUUCUCAUCGGUCACUGAGGUAAUACUCAAUCUUUUUUUAUACUCUCUAGGGAGAAAGUGGGAUACCCUUGCAUCCCUCCUUGAUAUUAAAUGUGUGAAAUUUGUUUUGUUGUGGUGCUUAUCAAGGGAGAAAGUGCGAUGCAAUGGCUCCCCCCAUUUUAAUUAUAUUGGUUUUUUACUUUUGGUUAUUUAUUUUUUAUACUCGCUAAGGGAGAAAGUGGGAUACCAUUGCAGCCCUCCUUGACAUUAAUUUGCUUUGUUUGGAUUGGAAUUUGAAAUUUUUUUUGAAAAAUAGUAGGGAUAAUAAGUGGAGAGAGAUAGAGAGAGAAAUGUUGAGAGUAUGAGGAAUCUAGGGGGAAUUUUUUGAAAAAUUCUUUUUAAGUUGCAAAGAGAACAAAGCUUUGAAACUUGUUUUGUUGUGGUGCUUGUCAAGGGAGAAGUGCGAUGCAAUGGCUCCCCCCCUUUCAAUUGUAUUGGUUAAUUACUUUUAGUUAUUUCUUUUUUAUACUCACUAAAUGAGAAAGUGGGAUAUCCUUGCAUCCCUCCUUGACAUUAAAUGUGUGAAACUUGUUUUGUUGUGGUGCUUGUCAAGGGAGAAAGUGCGAUGCAAUGGCUCUUCCCUUAUAUACACUUCAUAAUUGUUAGUUCUUUCAUACUCGCUAACAGAGAAUAAUGAUUUCUAAGAGACGUAAAAACUAUUGAUCACUAAGUGAUGAGAAAAAGUAGUAAGAACCCUAAAAGUUUGAAUUUAUGAUAAUGAAAUUGAAAAAAUAGUGGUUCCUAUUGGUUUAAUAACAAUUUAAGUGUACGUAAUAGAUCCGAAACGUGCCUCUUACCUCGAAUCGAUGUUGCCUGGGUCUGCUAUGAAUCAAGUCUUACGUACUUGAUUAAAUAUAUAUUUGAAUCAAUGUUGCCCUAAAUUUAAGAGUUGGUCAAUUUUAUUAAUCUAGAAACUUGCAUGUUGCUUCGGUUGGAAAUAAAAAAAGCUUAUUUUUUUGAUGGGAUGGAAAUAAAGAAAUGGUUCAUACAUUCUACAAGGGUAUGAAUGUUGGCCAUGAGAAACAAAAAUGACGGUUAGUAGGUAUUCGGACUACAAGUCAUGUGAAUAAAAAAUACUGAAACAUGUGACGGUUAGUAGGUGUUUAGACUACUAGUCAUGUGAAAAGAGAAUAGUGAUUCCAAGUAGAUGUAAAGACUACUGAUUACUAAGUGAUGAGAACUCUGAAAGCGUGCAUUUGAGGUAACGAAAUCGAAAAGAAAUGGUUCCUUUUGGUUUGAGAUACGAAUUAAAGUGUGUAGCAGAUUUGGAACGUGCUUGUUUCCUCGAAUCGAUGUUGCCUGGAUCUGUUGUGGAUCGAAUCUUUCAUACUAGAGACCCAACGAAUUUUUGUUGCCUCGAAUAAAUGUCGCCCUAAAUUCAACAGUUGGUCAAUUUUAUUAAUCUAGAGACUUUGCAUGUUGCUUUGGUUGGAAAUAAAAGAAGCUUGAUUUCUUGAUGGGAUGGAAAUAAAGAAAUGGUUCCUACAUUCUACUGGUGUAUGAUUGUUGGCCAUGAGAACAUACAUCACGGUUAGUAGGUGUUCGGACUACUAGUCAUGUGAAUAAAAAAUAAUGAAACACAUGACGGUUAGUAGGUGUUUAGACUACUAGUCAUGUGAAAAGAGAAUAGUGAUUCCAAGUAGAUGUAAAGACUACUGAUCACUAAGUGAUAAGAACUGUGAAAGCGUGCAUUUGAGGCAACGAAAUCGAAAAAAAGUGGUUCUUUUUGGUUUGAGAUACGGAUUAAAGUGUUUCGGAACGUGUUUGUUUACUCGAAUCGUUGUUGCCUGGAUCUGUUGUGGAUCGAAUCUUUCGUACUAGAUCCAACGAAUUUUUGUUGCCUUGAAUCAAUGUUGCCCUAAAUUCAAGAGUUGGUCAAUUUAAUUAAUCUAGAAACUUGCGUGUUGCUUCGAUUGGAAAUGAAAGAAGCUUGAUUUCUUGAUGGGAUGGAAAUAAAGAAAUGGUUCCUACAUUCUACUAGGGUAUGACUGUUGGCCAUGAGAUACAUACAUGACAGUUAGUAGGUGUUCGGACUACUAGUCAUGUAAAUAAAAAAUAUUGAAACACGUCGUAUUAAAUCCAACGAAUUUUUGUUGUCUCGAAUCAAUGUCGCGCUAAAUUCAAGAGUUGAUUAAUUUUAUUAAUCUAGAAACUUGCGUGUUGCUUCGGUUGGAAAUAAAAGAAGCUUGAUUUCUUGAUGGGAUGGAAAUAAAGAAAUUGUUCCUACAUUCUACUAGUGUAUGACUGGUAGCCAUGAGAAAAAUACAUGACGGUUAGUAGGUGUUCGGACUACUAGUCAUGCGAAUAAAAAAUACUGAAACAUGUGACGGUUAGUAGGUGUUUAGACUACUAGUCAUGUGAAAAGAGAAUAGUGAUUCUAAUUAGAUGUAAAGACUACUGUUCACUAAGUGAUGAGAACUCUGAAAGCGUGCAUUUGAGGUAACAAAAUCGAAAUAAAGUAGUUCCUUUUGGUUUGAGAUACGGAUUAAAGUGUAUGUUACAGAUUCGGAACUUGCUUGUUUCCACGAAUUGUUGUUGCCUGGAUCUGUUGUGGAUCGAAUCUUUAAUACUAGACCCAACGAAUUUUUGUUGCCUCGAAUCAAUGUCGCCCUAAAUUCAAGAGUAGGUCAAUUUUAUUAAUCUAGAGACUUGCAUGUUGCUUCGGUUGGAAAUAAAAGAAGCUUGAUUUCUUGAUGGGAUGGAAAUAAAGAAAUGGUUCCUAUAUUCUACUAGGGUAUGACUGUUGGCCAUGAGAUACAUACAUGACAGUUAAUAGGUGUUCGGACUACUAGUCAUGUGAAUAAAAAAUAUUGAAACACGUCAUAUUAAAUCCAACGAAUUUUUGUUUUCUCGAAUCAAUGUCGCGCUAAAUUCAAGAGUUGAUAAUUUUUAUUAAUCUAGAAACUUGCGUGUUGCUCCGGUUGGAAAUAAAAGAAGCUUGAUUUCUUGUUGGGAUGGAAAUAAAGAAAUUGUUCCUACAUUCUACUAGAGUAUGACCGGUAGCCAUGAGAAAAAUUACAUGAUAGUUAGUCGGUGUUCGGACUACUAGUCAUGCGAUUAAAAAAUACAGAAACACGUAACGGUUAGUAGGUGUUUAGACUACUAGUCAUGUGAAAAGAGAAUAGUGAUUCCUAGUAGAUGUAAAAACUAUUGUUCACUAAGUGAUGAGAACUCUGAAAGCGUGCCAUUGAGGUAGCGAAAUCGAAAAAAAGUAGUUCCUUUUGGUUUAAGAUACGGAUUAAAGUGUAUGUUACAGAUUCGGAACGUGCUUGUUUCCUCGAAUUAAUGUUGCCUUGAUCUGUUGUGGAUCGAAUCUUUAAUUCUAGACCGAACGAAUUUAUGUUGCCUCGAAUCAAUGUUGCCCUAAAUUCAAGAGUGGGUCAAUUUUAUUAAUCUAGAGACUUGCAUUUUCCUUCGGUUGGAAAUAAAAGAAGCUUGAUUUCCUGAUGGGAUGGAAGAAAAGAAAUGGUUCCUACAUUCUACUAGGGUAUGGCUGUUGGCCAUGAGAAACAUAAAUGACGGUUAGUAGGUGUUCAGCUACUAGUCAUUUGAAUAAAGAAUACUGAAACACGUGACGGUUAGUAGGUGUUUAGACUACUUGUCAAGUGAAAAGAGAAUAGUGAUUCUAAGUAGAUGUAAAGACUACUGAUCAUUAAGUGAUAAGAACUCUGAAAGUGUGCAUUUGAAGUAGCGAAAUCGAAAAAAAGUGGUUCCUUUUUGUUUGAGAUACGGAUUAAAGUGUAUGUUAUAGGUUCGGAACGUGAUAGUCUACCUAAAUCGAUGUUUCCUGGAUCUGUUGUGGAUUAAAUAUUUCGUACUAGAUCCAACGAAUUUUUGUUGCCUCGAAUCAAUGUCGCCCCAAAUUCAAGUGUUGGUCAAUUUUAUUAAUCUAGAAACUUGUGUGUUGCUUCUGUUGGAAAUAAAAGAAGCUUGAUUUCUUGAUGGGAUGAAAAUAAAGAAAUGAUUCCUACAUUCAACUAGGGCAUGACCGUUGACCUUGAGAAAAAUACAUGACGGUUAGUAGUUGUUCGGACUACUAGUCAUGUGAAUAAAAAAUACUGAAACACGUGACGGUUAGAUGUAAAGACUAUUGAUCACUAAGUGAUCAGAACUUUGAAAUUAUGCUUUUGAGGUAACGAAAUUGAAAAAAAUUGGUUUCUUUUAGUUUUAGAUAUGGAUUAAAGUGUAUUUUAUGGAUUCGGAACGUGCUUGUUUCCUUGAAUCGAUGUUGCCUGGAUCUGUUGUGUAUCGAAUUUUUCGUACUAGAUCCAACGAAUUUUUGUUGCCUCGAUUUAAUGUCGCCCUAAAUUCAAGAGUUAGUCAAUUUUGGGAUGAAAAUAAAG
Rhododendron vialii is the source of this 5285-nucleotide long non-coding RNA. RefSeq lists it as uncharacterized. Lineage: Eukaryota; Viridiplantae; Streptophyta; Magnoliopsida; Ericales; Ericaceae. The transcript is spliced from 8 exons. The record is from RefSeq and is a predicted model, not a curated record.